This 253-nucleotide ribosomal RNA is filed under the name uncultured bacterium. RNAcentral describes it as "partial 16S ribosomal RNA". It matches the Rfam family "Bacterial small subunit ribosomal RNA", at positions 524 to 776 of the family's 1533-position model. The record is from RNAcentral.
UACAGAGGUCUCAAGCGUUGUUCGGAUUCAUUGGGCGUAAAGGGUGCGUAGGCGGCGCGGUAAGUCGGGUGUGAAAUCUAGGAGCUCAACUCCUAAACUGCACUGGAUACUGCUCUGCUGGAGGACUGGAGAGGAGACUGGAAUUCACGGUGUAGCAGUGAAAUGCGUAGAUAUCGUGAGGAAGACCAGUGGCGAAGGCGGGUCUCUGGACAGUUCCUGACGCUGAGGCGCGAAGGCCAGGGGAGCAAACGGG